AUGCCAACCAACAUCGGACCACCCUUGACGUGUGUUUCCCAGUCCCCACGAGCUCACUGACACUUUACGCCAGCAGGCACGACAGCAGCAUUAGCGUUGACUGACGUGGAGGAAAAUCGGAAAAAAAACACGCCGCACAUCGCCGUUUAACGAAAAGGAACGCGCGUGUUUGAUUCAUGCGUAGGUAAACGUUGAAGAGAAUAUACGUGUCAAAUGUCAAUAUACCGGGUCUCUUUUAGUUAUCAGGAGAACGUUUUUAACCUAUAAAGUAUAAUAUUGAACUCGCAAUUCUAAUCUAACGUACAAUCAAAGUUACACAACAAGCAAAAUGAAUUUCUUAUAUCGAUUACCAUUUUAUGUAUUAGAGGUACCAAAUCUUAAAUUAAAAAAACCAUCAUUCUUUGUAAAACCGAGUGCAAUGGUGGUUUUCUCUAUGGUGUUGCUCUCCUACUUUUUAAUGACGGGAGGUAUCAUAUACGAUGUUAUUUUAGAACCACCUAGUGUUGGUUCUACAACCGACGAACAUGGCCAUAGUCGACCUGUAGCAUUUAUGCCAUACAGAGUAAACGGACAAUAUAUCAUGGAAGGUUUAGCAUCAAGUUUUCUUUUUACAUUAGGAGGUCUGGGUUUUAUAAUUCUCGAUCAAACGCAUAGUCCAUCUAUGCCUAAACUUACUAGGAUACUAUUAAUUAGUGUAGGAUUUAUUAGUGUUCUGGUAUCUUUUACUACUUGUUGGAUUUUUAUGCGUAUGAAGCUUCCGGGAUAUCUACAAUCGUAAUAUUAAAAGUAUUGAUGAAAAUAAUGGCAUUUUCAAACAGUAAUAGGACAUAUAAGUAAAACUUUGGGAGCAGCGUCGCUAAAAACAGACAUCAUAUCUAAAAAGUCCUCAAACGUACAAUCACCAUCUUGACUGGAACU
Molecule: RNA transcript, 918 nt
Organism: Ceratosolen solmsi marchali
Lineage: Eukaryota; Metazoa; Arthropoda; Insecta; Hymenoptera; Agaonidae
Gene name: oligosaccharyltransferase complex subunit ostc-B
Exons: 6
Source: RefSeq, a predicted model, not a curated record